Lolium rigidum is the source of this 1110-nucleotide long non-coding RNA. RefSeq lists it as uncharacterized. The record is from RefSeq and is a predicted model, not a curated record. Lineage: Eukaryota; Viridiplantae; Streptophyta; Magnoliopsida; Poales; Poaceae. The transcript has 7 exons.
UUCUCUUUAUCUCUGGCAGCGGAGAGAGCAUUUCUCCGAUGGUGUGGCCUCUCCCGACCAGGACCUGGGUGCCCCCGCGGGCGGCGGUGGAAUUGGUGAAGGCCACCGGAGCGAGGAACCGGGUGGAGUCCGCUAUCUCUCAUCCCGUGUUUCGUCGCUGUUUGGAAGUCAGAAGUUUGGGUUUGCGUGGAUGCCGAGGAGCUGGGUUCCUCCAUGCCGGAGCUUCCAGGGAUCGACCGCCAUUUCGAGGAGUCGGUAGGAGGCUGGAUCGCCGGUGUGAUGGGGAGGUUAGGUGGCGCAGGGGAAUACAAAUACAUUGAUUUGCACCAUGAUUUGCUAGUAGACCUGGAGCAGCAAGUUUGGUCCGCAAUGGAAAUUGCAGCAGCUCCUAAACCCGCAGCUACCUACUGAUCUUUGCCAUCUGCAUCCCCAUGCUCUACAGACGUGCACCUGGACGUCAUCAAGAUUUUUUAGCCAAGCUACUGCUAGCGUGGGUCAUGACAUGCGUAUUUAUCAGUCUUAAUUAUCACAUUAGUAUUUUCUCACUUUUACUCACUUCAUUCUUAUGUAUCAUUUUUCAUUUUAGGGGUACUACGCUGAUCCUAGGAAAUAACUCAAUACAAGCUGAUCUUGGGGUAUUAGGCUGUGAAAAGGAAAGAGGGAAAAAUGUCAAGGAAUGCCACCCCCGCUCAAGCCAAUUUUGGGAUAGGUACAUGAUUGAUCAAAAAAGAAGGAAGUUCUGAAAAGUAGUAGGGGGGAGGGGGAAAAGCGGUGACAAUGUGACAUGCCUGUCCUGAGAGUGUAUGAGGUCCAAAGGCGGCUUUGCGUGAGGACUAAGAAGAAGAGAGACAUGGUGACGUGGAGGCAGCUGGUAGACCAGGCCAACGAAAACAGAAGGCCCACUUCCAUGUUUUAUGUGAAGGCCUCAAAAAAGGCUGAUGUGGAAAUAAUGCGCUACUUUUUUUUAGUCCUUACGUACGAAAGCUCAGUUCAAUUGAUUGUUUGCUGUGGAAUGGAAAAAACCAGAAAAAACCGGACUGACCCGAAUUUGUUUGACUUUUUUUGUCUGAACUGACUGGAAUGAAGUUUUAAGCAGUUUGAAGAGGUAAA